RNAcentral lists this ribosomal RNA (397 nucleotides) under uncultured bacterium. RNAcentral describes it as "bacterial SSU rRNA". It matches the Rfam family "Bacterial small subunit ribosomal RNA", at positions 28 to 428 of the family's 1533-position model. The record is from RNAcentral.
GACGAACGCUGGCGGCGUGCUUAACACAUGCAAGUCGAGCGAGGCCCUUCCUUCGGGAGGGUGUCCUAGCGGCGAACGGGUGAGUAACACGUGGGCAACCUGCCCUCAGCUCUGGGAUAACUCCAAGAAAUUGGGGCUAAUACCGGAUAUGACUGCUGACCGCAUGGUCUGGUGGUGGAAAGAUUUAUCGGCUGGGGAUGGGCCCGCGGCCUAUCAGCUUGUUGGUGGGGUAGNGGCCUACCAAGGCGACGACGGGUAGCCGGCCUGAGAGGGUGGCCAGCCACAUUGGGACUGAGAGACGGCCCAGACUCCUACGGGAGGCAGCAGUGGGGAAUCUUGCGCAAUGGCCGAAAGGCUGACGCAGCGACGCCGCGUGGGGAGGAAGGCCUCGGUGUAA